CUCAGAUUGAACGCUGGCGGCAUGCUUUACACAUGCAAGUCGAACGGCAGCGGGGGCUUCGGCCUGCCGGCGAGUGGCGAACGGGUGAGUAAUGCAUCGGAACGUGCCCAUGUCGUGGGGGAUAACGUAGCGAAAGCUACGCUAAUACCGCAUACGCCCUGAGGGGAAAGCGGGGGAUUCUUCGGAACCUCGCGCGAUUGGAGCGGCCGAUGUCGGAUUAGCUAGUAGGUGAGGUAAAGGCUCACCUAGGCGACGAUCCGUAGCGGGUCUGAGAGGAUGAUCCGCCACACUGGGACUGAGACACGGCCCAGACUCCUACGGGAGGCAGCAGUGGGGAAUUUUGGACAAUGGGCGCAAGCCUGAUCCAGCCAUGCCGCGUGAGUGAAGAAGGCCUUCGGGUUGUAAAGCUCUUUCGGCCGGGAAGAAAUCGUGGUCUCUAACAUAGGCCAUGGAUGACGGUACCGGACUAAGAAGCACCGGCUAACUACGUGCCA
RNAcentral lists this ribosomal RNA (494 nucleotides) under uncultured bacterium. RNAcentral's name for it is "bacterial SSU rRNA". It matches the Rfam family "Bacterial small subunit ribosomal RNA", at positions 23 to 510 of the family's 1533-position model. The record is from RNAcentral.